AAGACAAAACAAAUAGGAGUAUGAAAACCAAUAAAAGAUAAUUUUGGAAAAAUUCUUGCACAACACACUUUGGAAAAUCAUGGAGGAAGGAAGAAGUUCAC
Myripristis murdjan (pinecone soldierfish) is the source of this 101-nucleotide long non-coding RNA. RefSeq lists it as uncharacterized. The record is from RefSeq and is a predicted model, not a curated record. The transcript is spliced from 3 exons. NCBI's taxonomy places the organism in Eukaryota, Metazoa, Chordata, Actinopteri, Holocentriformes, Holocentridae.